GAUGAACGCUGACAGAAUGCUUAACACAUGCAAGUCGACCGGAACUUCGGUUUGGGUGGCGGACGGGUGAGUAACGCGUAAAGAACUUGCCUCACAGUUAGGGACAACAUUUGGAAACGAAUGCUAAUACCUGAUAUUAUGAUCUUAGGGCAUCCUAAAAUUAUGAAAGCUAUCUGCGCUGUGAGAGAGCUUUGCGUCCCAUUAGCUAGUUGGAGAGGUCACGGCUCACCAAGGCGAUGAUGGGUAGCCGGCCUGAGAGGGUGAACGGCCACAAGGGGGCGGUGACACGGCCCUUACUCCUACGUGAGGCAGCAGUGGGGAAUGUUGGACAAUGGACCACAAGUCUGAGGCAGCAGUUCUGUGUGCACGAUGACGUUUUUGGGAGUGUAGAGGGCUUUCAUUUGGGGAGAAUAAAAUGACGGUACCAACAGAAGAAGUGACGGCUAACUACGUG
RNAcentral lists this ribosomal RNA (454 nucleotides) under uncultured bacterium. Its description in RNAcentral is "partial 16S ribosomal RNA". It matches the Rfam family "Bacterial small subunit ribosomal RNA", at positions 28 to 507 of the family's 1533-position model. The record is from RNAcentral.